RNAcentral lists this ribosomal RNA (644 nucleotides) under uncultured Lachnospiraceae bacterium. RNAcentral's name for it is "bacterial SSU rRNA". It matches the Rfam family "Bacterial small subunit ribosomal RNA", at positions 74 to 737 of the family's 1533-position model. Lineage: Bacteria; Bacillati; Bacillota; Clostridia; Lachnospirales; Lachnospiraceae. The record is from RNAcentral.
GAUGAUUCUUAACUGACUGAGCGGCGGACGGGUGAGUAACGCGUGGGUGACCUGCCCCAUACCGGGGGAUAACAGCUGGAAACGGCUGCUAAUACCGCAUAAGCGCACAGAGCUGCAUGGCUCGGUGUGAAAAACUCCGGUGGUAUGGGAUGGGCCCGCGUCUGAUUAGGCAGUUGGCGGGGUAACGGCCCACCAAACCGACGAUCAGUAGCCGGCCUGAGAGGGCGACCGGCCACAUUGGGACUGAGACACGGCCCAAACUCCUACGGGAGGCAGCAGUGGGGAAUAUUGCACAAUGGGGGAAACCCUGAUGCAGCGACGCCGCGUGAGCGAAGAAGUAUUUCGGUAUGUAAAGCUCUAUCAGCAGGGAAGAUAAUGACGGUACCUGACUAAGAAGCCCCGGCUAACUACGUGCCAGCAGCCGCGGUAAUACGUAGGGGGCAAGCGUUAUCCGGAUUUACUGGGUGUAAAGGGAGCGUAGACGGCAAGGCAAGUCUGAUGUGAAAACCCAGGGCUUAACCCUGGGACUGCAUUGGAAACUGUCUGGCUCGAGUGCCGGAGAGGUAAGCGGAAUUCCUAGUGUAGCGGUGAAAUGCGUAGAUAUUAGGAAGAACACCAGUGGCGAAGGCGGCUUACUGGACGGU